This 406-nucleotide ribosomal RNA is filed under the name uncultured bacterium. RNAcentral describes it as "partial 16S ribosomal RNA". It matches the Rfam family "Bacterial small subunit ribosomal RNA", at positions 30 to 526 of the family's 1533-position model. The record is from RNAcentral.
AUUGAACGCUGGCGGCAGGCCUAACACAUGCACGUCGAACGAGUGGCGGACGGGUGAGUAAUGUCUGGGAAACUGCCUGAUUGAGGGGGAUCACCACUGGAAACGGUAGCUAAUCCCGCAUACCAUCAUUUGUCCCCAGAUGGGAUUAUCUAGUCGGUGGGGUAACGGAUCACCAAGUCGACGAUCCCUAGCUGGUCGGAGAGGAUGACCAGCCACACUGGAACUGAGACACGGUCCAGACUCCUACGGGAGGCAGCAGUGGGGAAUAGUGCACAAUGGGCGCAAGCCUGAUGCAGGCAUGCCGCGUGUAUGAAGAAGGCCUGCGGGUUGUAAAGUACUUUCAGCGGGGAGGCGUUACCCGCAGAAGAAGCACCGGCUAACUCCGUGCCAGCAGCCGCGGUAAUUC